RNAcentral lists this ribosomal RNA (831 nucleotides) under Acrobeloides bodenheimeri. RNAcentral's name for it is "SSU rRNA". It matches the Rfam family "Eukaryotic small subunit ribosomal RNA", at positions 107 to 943 of the family's 1831-position model. Lineage: Eukaryota; Metazoa; Nematoda; Chromadorea; Rhabditida; Cephalobidae. The record is from RNAcentral.
CAGCUAUAAUUUACUUGAUCUUGACACUAUCCUACUUGGAUAACUGUGGUAAUUCUAGAGCUAAUACAUGCAUUAAAGCUCUGACCUCACGGGAAGAGUGCAUUUAUUAGAACAAAACCAAGCGGCUUCGGCUGUUUCUGGUUGACUCAUAGUAACUGAGCUGAUCGCAUGGUCUUGCACCGGCGACGUGUCUUUCAAGUAUCUGCCGUAUCAACUUUCGAUGGUAGUGUAUCUGACUACCAUGGUGAUCACGCGUAACGGAGAAUAAGGGUUCGGCUCCGGAGAGUUCGCCUGAGAAAUCGCGAACACAUCUAAGGAAGGCAGCAGGCGCGAAAAUUACCCACUCUCAGCACGAGGAGGUAGUGACGAAAAAUAACGAGACCGUUCUCUUAUGAGGCCGGUCAUCGGAAUGGGUACAAUUUAAACCCUUUAACGAGUAUCUAUGAGAGGGCAAGUCUGGUGCCAGCAGCCGCGGUAAUUCCAGCUCUCAAAGUGCAUAGAAUUAUUGCUGCGGUUAAAAAGCUCGUAGUUGGAUCUGUGCCAUAGGACGGGGUCUACCUUCGGGUACGUACUCCGCUCCUAGGCUUUUUGCUGGUUUUCCCGUCGUAGCCUUCACUGGUUGCGGCGGGUGGCUGGCGAGUUUACUUUGAGAAAAUCAAAGUGCUCAACACAGGCGUAUCGCUUGAAUGAUUGUGCAUGGAAUAAUAGAAAAGGAUUUCGGUCCUCUUUUAUUGGUUUUGUGGACUGAGAUAAUGGUUAACAGGGACAAACGGGGGCAUUCGUAUCGCUGCGUGAGAGGUGAAAUUCUUGGACCGUAGCGAGACGCCCUAC